AGACAAGAAGCUGAUAAAAUAAUAGUAUUGGUAAGUACAGGACUCAGAAUGAAUAGAAUAGGUAUUCAUAGAAAUACCUAUGAGGAAAUUAAUUGUAGUUGAUUAAAAAUUGAGAAGUAAAUGGUCAUUACCAAGGCUUUUAGAAUGCAGUUUCUCAUUUGCUGUGGACAUGACCAUAAAGAAAAAUUCCCAUUAGGUUUUCCAUAUGCUACUUGACUAGCAGUUAACAUGUUGGGAACAUUUUUUGAGCAAAUCUUUAUCCAGUUGUUACUUAUAUGUAGAUGGUUCUAGAAUGUUCAUCCCAUUACUCCCAUGUUCUUAUUAUGCAGGGCUAAAAGCACAACUGGAUGACCUUGAGAAAGGGCUAUUUUCAGAUGGCCUGGAUGGACAGCAAAGAAAUCAAACCUACCCCUUAAAUAAAAAUUUAUUGAUAAUAAAUAAUUUUAUACAUUAAAAAAGAACCCUUAACACAAUUUAUAGGAAGUCAGUGUGUAUUUUUGGCUUGACUUUUCCUAGUGCUUUCUGUAGAAAAACAGCUGUCUUUGUACUUUCCUCAUGUACUUGCUUCUCUUUGUUGUUUCAUCUCAGCUAACUGCCUCUGUAAGAGAAAAUUGUGUAAUUAGAUUGGCACAUGUAGCAAAACACUAAACGCCAGCAAAUAAAAAAGGAAACCUUAGUGCCUUUUGGUGCAAAAAAAAAAAAAAAAUUUUGAGAAGUAAUCACCUGAAUUAUCUGUGCAGAAGACAUACCUAUGUCCUUCAAAACAUGAAAGAGCUGGACAUGACUACUGUAGCAUUUGAGAUUUUAGUAUUUACAGAAAGUUUAAGUCAUCAGAAGAAUGCAUCAUAGAAGUUUUUUAAUGUAUUAGUGUUUUUUAGUUUUAUUUAUGAAUAGUUUGCCUAUGUAUAUGUGCGCUGUGUGCAUGGUUAGUGUCCAUGGAGGUCAGAAUGGGGCAUUAGAUCCCUACAGUUGGAGUUGAGGGUUAUGACCCUCCAUGUGGGUACUAGGAAUUGAGUUUGGAUGCUCUGUAAAAGCAAGUACUCCAAACGGCUGAACCCUCUCUAGCCUUGAAACUAGUACAUUUUUAAGAGACUUAAGAAUGAAAAAUGGAGUAGAGAAAAAAUUUAAAGAUUCAAUAUUUAUCCUAAAGAAUAAAAGAUCAGAAUAAGGGGUUGGGGAUUUAGCUCAGUGGUAGAGCGCAAGGCCCUGGGUUCAGUCCCCAGCUCUGUUAAAAAAAAAAAAAAAAUCAGAAUAAGAAGGUACUCCUAUUUUGGAGCAUAAAUGCCAAAGAAAGUCAGAGGAGCAGUGAGCACACUGUCAGUUAUGAUCUCGUGGAAAUCAUGAGAUCAACAGUGAGCAAGUGUGGGAGAGCCUCCUUCGUUUGGUAAGUACUCACUGAAUACCACAUUCCAGGCACCAUUUUACAUCGUAGAAAUAAAGCUAGGAGUACAAAAAGGCCUUCAUGGAGCUUACUUGCUAGUGAAGAAUGAUUAGUUAACUUUAUAGAAAAGUUGUGUGUGGUAACUCAUUCCUAUUUUCCCACACUAUGGUGACUAAGACAGGAGGAUUGCUUUAAGUUUGAUGCCAGUCUAAAAAUAUGUUUGUACAACUGUAUUUCAUUCUCUUUCCUCCUCCUCUUUGCAUGUAUGUAUGUAUAUAUGUAUGCAUGCAUGCUUGUAUGUAUGUAUACAUAUAUAUGUGUACACACAUAAUGCUGAGUUUUUAACCUAUGUUAAUUAAAAAGUAAUAAACCAUGUUCUAAACCACUUUCUUGAAGUAGUAGCUGGUUCCAGGAGGCAUACUCAUGGGAGUACAGAUAAUCCUGGUCUUACAACAGAGGCAAGAGGUCUAGGUUACUACUAGGGAUGUACAAACCAGUUUGAAGGGACUCUUUGAUCAAUCAUUUAUGGUGAAUGCUAGGCCAGGAACUCAUCUCAAAACUGAAAAAGAAAGAUAAAGUAUUUAUCAUACAUUUCCAUUACAACCAGAUGUCCUCACACGCAGUAGUGUAAUGUUUUGUUUUGUUUUGUUUUGUUUUUGUGGCAAGCAGCCUGGAUCAUACCCACUGAUGGGAGGUAAGUGAAGGGAUAGCUUGCAGGAUUUAACACUCUUGUUUGUGUUUUGUAGGU
This 2129-nucleotide long non-coding RNA is filed under the name Rattus norvegicus (Norway rat). RNAcentral's name for it is "long non-coding RNA NONRATT001565". The stretch from base 122 to 243 matches the Rfam family "Small nucleolar RNA SNORA32". The record is from RNAcentral. Lineage: Eukaryota; Metazoa; Chordata; Mammalia; Rodentia; Muridae.